Molecule: ribosomal RNA, 1412 nt
Filed under: Lactiplantibacillus plantarum
Lineage: Bacteria; Bacillati; Bacillota; Bacilli; Lactobacillales; Lactobacillaceae
Description: bacterial SSU rRNA
Rfam family: Bacterial small subunit ribosomal RNA
Source: RNAcentral
UCGAACGAACUCUGGUAUUGAUUGGUGCUUGCAUCAUGAUUUACAUUUGAGUGAGUGGCGAACUGGUGAGUAACACGUGGGAAACCUGCCCAGAAGCGGGGGAUAACACCUGGAAACAGAUGCUAAUACCGCAUAACAACUUGGACCGCAUGGUCCGAGCUUGAAAGAUGGCUUCGGCUAUCACUUUUGGAUGGUCCCGCGGCGUAUUAGCUAGAUGGUGGGGUAAUGGCUCACCAUGGCAAUGAUACGUAGCCGACCUGAGAGGGUAAUCGGCCACAUUGGGACUGAGACACGGCCCAAACUCCUACGGGAGGCAGCAGUAGGGAAUCUUCCACAAUGGACGAAAGUCUGAUGGAGCAACGCCGCGUGAGUGAAGAAGGGUUUCGGCUCGUAAAACUCUGUUGUUAAAGAAGAACAUAUCUGAGAGUAACUGUUCAGGUAUUGACGGUAUUUAACCAGAAAGCCACGGCUAACUACGUGCCAGCAGCCGCGGUAAUACGUAGGUGGCAAGCGUUGUCCGGAUUUAUUGGGCGUAAAGCGAGCGCAGGCGGUUUUUUAAGUCUGAUGUGAAAGCCUUCGGCUCAACCGAAGAAGUGCAUCGGAAACUGGGAAACUUGAGUGCAGAAGAGGACAGUGGAACUCCAUGUGUAGCGGUGAAAUGCGUAGAUAUAUGGAAGAACACCAGUGGCGAAGGCGGCUGUCUGGUCUGUAACUGACGCUGAGGCUCGAAAGUAUGGGUAGCAAACAGGAUUAGAUACCCUGGUAGUCCAUACCGUAAACGAUGAAUGCUAAGUGUUGGAGGGUUUCCGCCCUUCAGUGCUGCAGCUAACGCAUUAAGCAUUCCGCCUGGGGAGUACGGCCGCAAGGCUGAAACUCAAAGGAAUUGACGGGGGCCCGCACAAGCGGUGGAGCAUGUGGUUUAAUUCGAAGCUACGCGAAGAACCUUACCAGGUCUUGACAUACUAUGCAAAUCUAAGAGAUUAGACGUUCCCUUCGGGGACAUGGAUACAGGUGGUGCAUGGUUGUCGUCAGCUCGUGUCGUGAGAUGUUGGGUUAAGUCCCGCAACGAGCGCAACCCUUAUUAUCAGUUGCCAGCAUUAAGUUGGGCACUCUGGUGAGACUGCCGGUGACAAACCGGAGGAAGGUGGGGAUGACGUCAAAUCAUCAUGCCCCUUAUGACCUGGGCUACACACGUGCUACAAUGGAUGGUACAACGAGUUGCGAACUCGCGAGAGUAAGCUAAUCUCUUAAAGCCAUUCUCAGUUCGGAUUGUAGGCUGCAACUCGCCUACAUGAAGUCGGAAUCGCUAGUAAUCGCGGAUCAGCAUGCCGCGGUGAAUACGUUCCCGGGCCUUGUACACACCGCCCGUCACACCAUGAGAGUUUGUAACACCCAAAGUCGGUGGGGUAACC